GUGCUCUCUUUAGCAAUACAUAUACAAAAACUGGAAUGGCACAGAGAUUAUCAUGGCCCCUGAGCAACAAUGACAAACAAGUUCACGAAGCGUUCCAUGCUUUU
Small nuclear RNA from Ochotona princeps (American pika), 104 nucleotides. The record is from RefSeq and is a predicted model, not a curated record. Lineage: Eukaryota; Metazoa; Chordata; Mammalia; Lagomorpha; Ochotonidae.